UCCGCCGGGGGCUCGCGUUGCUCGGAAUGACUGGGCGUACAGGGCGCGUAGGCGGAUGGUACAGUCAGAUGUGAAAUUCCCGGGCUCAACCUGGGGGCUGCAUUUGAUACGUAUGAUCUUGAGUGGGGAAGAGGGUCGUGGAAUUCCCAGUGUAGAGGUGAAAUUCGUAGAUAUUCGCAAGAACACCAGUGGCGAAGGCGGCUCACUGGCCCGAUACUGACGCUGAGGCACGAAAGCGUGGGGAGCAAACAGG
Molecule: ribosomal RNA, 253 nt
Filed under: uncultured bacterium
Lineage: Bacteria
Description: partial 16S ribosomal RNA
Rfam family: Bacterial small subunit ribosomal RNA
Source: RNAcentral